UUGACCUCGAAUCAGGUAGGAAUACCCGCUGAACUUAAGCAUAUCAAUAAGCGGAGGAAAAGAAACCAACAGGGAUUGCCCCAGUAACGGCGAGUGAAGCGGCAACAGCUCAAAUUUGAAAUCUGGCUCUCGGGCCCGAGUUGUAAUUUGUAGAGGAUGCUUUUGGUGAGGUGCCUUCCGAGUUCCCUGGAACGGGACGCCACAGAGGGUGAGAGCCCCGUCUGGUUGGACACCGAGCCUCUGUAAAGCUCCUUCGACGAGUCGAGUAGUUUGGGAAUGCUGCUCUAAAUGGGAGGUAUAUGUCUUCUAAAGCUAAAUACCGGCCAGAGACCGAUAGCGCACAAGUAGAGUGAUCGAAAGAUGAAAAGAACUUUGAAAAGAGAGUUAAACAGUACGUGAAAUUGUUGAAAGGGAAGCGCUUGUGACCAGACUUGGGCUUGGUUGAUCAUCCGGGGUUCUCCCCGGUGCACUCUUCCGGCUCAGGCCAGCAUCAGUUCGCCCUGGGGGACAAAGGCAGCGGGAAUGUGGCUCUCUCCGGGGAGUGUUAUAGCCCGCUGCGUAAUACCCUGUGGCGGACUGAGGUUCGCGCAUUCGCAAGGAUGCUGGCGUAAUGGUCAUCAGUGAC
Molecule: ribosomal RNA, 625 nt
Filed under: Fusarium solani f. sp. eumartii
Lineage: Eukaryota; Fungi; Ascomycota; Sordariomycetes; Hypocreales; Nectriaceae
Description: eukaryotic LSU rRNA
Rfam family: Eukaryotic large subunit ribosomal RNA
Source: RNAcentral